UUAAGUUCAGCGGGUAUUCCUACCUGAUCCGAGGUCAACCUUUCAGAAAGUUGGGGGUUUUAACGGCGUGGCCGAGCCGCGCUCCGGUGCGAGGUUUCAAAAGAGCUACUACGCAGAGGAGGCUGCGGCGGGACCGCCACUGUAUUUCGGGGGCGGCGACCCCGCGACGAGGCGGGGCCGGUCCCCAACACCGAGCCCCC
RNAcentral lists this unclassified non-coding RNA (200 nucleotides) under Hypomyces sp. RNAcentral's name for it is "partial internal transcribed spacer 2". Lineage: Eukaryota; Fungi; Ascomycota; Sordariomycetes; Hypocreales; Hypocreaceae. The record is from RNAcentral.